Felis catus (domestic cat) is the source of this 5179-nucleotide long non-coding RNA. RefSeq lists it as uncharacterized. The record is from RefSeq and is a predicted model, not a curated record. The transcript is spliced from 4 exons. Lineage: Eukaryota; Metazoa; Chordata; Mammalia; Carnivora; Felidae.
UCUGGGUGGGAACUGGGGGUCUGGUGGGAGCCCAGAGCGGCCUGGACCCAGUGGGGUCCUGGUGGGAGCCGGGGACGGGAGGGCGAAGCGUGGAGUGGGGAGAAGCCUGGGGAUCAGUUUUGGGGAGGCCGGGGUAGCCAGCCCGCCUGGGUUGUGAUGACCGGGAGAAGGCUCCAGCUGUUUGCUUAAGAUGUUGGGAUUGCUGUGGCACACGGAGUGCCCUGUGCCCCGCGGCCUCAGCCUCACAGGGUGGCCUCCUGUUUCCUGGGACUUCUCAAGAAACAAAACAGGCUAGCGAGGCAAAGAAAAUACCGCCGUCUGCCCUUCUCUGUGAACAGAGGGCAAGUAUAUCAUGGACACGGGGAAGAAAGUCCCUCCUGGUCCCUGUAGAAAAACACUGUGCGGUCUCCAGUCUUUGUUUUGGUUUUGGGAACGCAUUCUUGAAAAGCGCUGUUUCACCAAAGGAAGUUUAAGCAACGUUCCAGUUUGCUACAGGAAAGCUACAGAGGGACGCCUCUUCAGGAAGGACGAGACUCGCGGAUCCACACACGCUGGCCUCUACGUAGACCGACAUCGUCCUUUCCUGUGGCGGGAGUUGAUUCAGGUUUCCAGAGUCCGGUAUUAGCAAGAUGAAUGAGCCUCUUCCUUUUUUUUCUCUCUUUCCCCUGCAGUUUUGAAACGUGAUUCCUAACUCUGAGUGGAUGCUCUUUUCACGCUCAGCUGGGUUCCUAACUCCUGAAAUAUUAAUCUGUGGGAGUUGCCGGCAGACCCAUAGUGGGCGCCCAUUACCAAGCUCCUGGCUGCCCAAAGGACACUUGAUAAGGGGACUUUACUCUGUGCCUGUCUUCCCGGUUCUGGGGGCUCUGGCAGAGCAGCCCUUGCACCCAGAGAAGUGGCCCCUCUCCUGGCCUUUUGUCCUGCCUCUGCAGUGCGGAAUCCCCUGGUCUCAGCCUGGAACAUUGGCCCCAAGUGCAUUUGCUUAGACCUCUGAAAACGAAUUCAUGAAAGUGGUGUCGUCAGCCAACCCAAUCCCAGCGCCCUCUCCAGUUGUGAGUUCAUUGACUGCCCCCCACCCCCACCCCAAACAAGGCCUUGUUCUCAACGUUGACUUCCUCUGCAUUUUCUUUUUUGCCUAAACACGGUUUCACACUCCUUGCUUCUGCUACACCGCUUAGCACACCAGCAAACUGGUUACAAAACCCAGCCCGAGAAUGUUUAGGACUGUGGAAUAGGCACCAUGUGGGGAUGUGAAAACAUAAGCAAGAUUUACAAGGCCCGCAGCACCGUCCUGAGAGCGGGCUGGGCUGGGCUGGGCCCUUUGUGUGGCUCUUGCGACUUGGUGGCUGCACCUCAGAGCAGGGCUCCCGAGGGUCCCCGGAGACCUUCAAUCUGGUAAGCCAAUUUCAGAGCCCGAGUCUGGUUGCAAGUGGAUUCAUUUGAACUAUAAUAUAAAAUAUUGUGUUUAUUUAACCCCUGUAAGCUGAUCUCCUUUGUCGUCGUGAACUGGCUGGGCAGCUAAGAACCCACAUUCCUUCCAUAGUUAAUAAAACUUCAUAUUUUGCUCUGUAUUCAUAAAUUUAAUUACGCUCAGACCCUUUUAAUCUAUAUCGGUUUUUCAAAAUUUACCUAGAUUAAGAAAACACGGGCCCCUCCCCCUUCCACACGCAACACAAUCAUAAUCUUUGGAUUAAAAGGCACAACUUGAAAAUUCAUUUUGACAGUUUCGUCAACAAAUCAUCUUGUAUCUUUUUUGAUUUUCUGACCUAGAGACGGUAGAGAUGUAAAUUGACUUGGCCAUGAUUCCUCCCAAGAUUUAUACUUUAACAUAAAUUUUUUUUUUCAGCGUUUUUAUUUAUUUUUGGGACAGAGAGAGACAGAGCAUGAACGGGGGAGGGGCAGAGAGAGAGGGAGACACAGAAUCGGAAACAGGCUCCAGGCUCCGAGCCAUCAGCCCAGAGCCUGACGCGGGGCUCGAACUCCCGGACCGCGAGAUCGUGACCUGGCUAAAGUUGGACGCUUAACCGACUGCGCCACCCAGGCGCCCCGCAAGAUUUAUACUUUAAAUGCCUGCAUUGUUUAGCCUUAUUAAAACAAAACAAAACCACCAAGAGAAGAGAAAAAAAGCUGUUUCUCACUUACUUCACCCAUGACUCUUUGUAAAUUCUUUGAAGCAUUCAGCUUGUAUUUGGGAUUGGUACAUCUUCUCUGAAAGUCAAGAAGGUGAGAGACCUCAGGGAUGCCCCUACCCAGAGGAAUCUUGGGACACGAGAUCAGUAGUGCUUCCUUGGCCCCUCCCAGGUGCUUUCUGAAAAUCAGUGACAUUUCUGUAAAGGGUUUUGUGCCUGCUGAGAGACAUAAAUGCAAUUUAUCAGCAUCUAGGUACUCUGUGUCCCCAGGCACCCACGUACAGAUGAAAGCUUAUCGUCUGGCUCCUGGCAGAAAUCCUUCCCAGUGCGACCUCCUUCGCUCGAAUCUUCUCUAAACAACAUCUGUUCAAAUGGUGCUUCAGAACCGUCUUCUCACGUGUAAUGAAGGACACCAAGACUCCCUGUUAAUUGAAAUGUUUGUCUUCAUUUCCAAAGCUUGGCGUUCUCCCCCUUCCCUACCUGUUUCUUCGGAGAGUUUUUAGAAUUCCGUCUGGGCAGACCCAUCUGCCAAGCGUCCCCUCCUCUGUUCAUAUCUUUUGGCCACCAUUUGGCUUUGCCCUGAUUUGAUUUGUAAGAGAGAAAUCUCUGUUUCCACCAAAAGAAAGAAAAGAAAUAAAAGCUAAACCAAAAUGAAACCUUUGGUAUUGCAGAAAAUUAUUUUUCCCCUUAUUUAAUUGUUCGUUGAAAUUCUUACAAGAACACCAUACUCAAACGUUUGGUCCGAGGAAGGCUUUAAACAUAAGAGGCCCCUCGCAGCUUUCUCAUCUGGAAGUCAGCUAGCAUUCAGCUCUUUGGAACACGGGAGAGGAACAAUCGUUCGUUUUCCUUUUCUGCCUCUAAGGAGCGGAGCUGCAGACAGAACCACUCUGAAGGGUUCUCCCUUUCCAGUAAUGCUCAGGGGCGUACUGUGGAUUACAACUCUAAAAUUUGCGACCAGGUUUCCAUCUAAAAACCGGACAACAUUCUUUCCCCAGUCUUCUUUGUCUGGAGAUACCGGAGGGGAGAAGGGCCGGUGACAUUUCAAAACUCACGUGUGUUCUCUGUGUCGGCUCCGCUGGCUGUUUACCUGUAAGAUCACUGGACGGAGAAGGAUGGCCUUUCAGGCCAAUGUGCCGUAGGCCACGUGUUCCCUCCUUAGCCGCCAUGUGAAGGCAGUGACCAUGUCUUUGACCUGAUGGAAUGGGUGUUUCCUGGGUCAUCUGGCCAUGCGCUUAAAACUUCCAAGUGAUAAUGAUAAAAACAUGCGGAAGUGUUUGCGUGAGGACGGGUAGGGCUUCACCGCCGUUGAGUUUCAGGACGCACUGCCAGCACGUGACAUGGGGCUGUUGGUGACUCUACGAAAUGCUCGGCGAACGCGGAGUGCCCUACCAGAGCUAUGAACAAGAUGCUGACAGAAUGAUUUGUAUCUCUUUGUCUGCCCUUGUGGGCAAUACAUUUCAUGGCCGCCUUAUUUGCCACCAUAUAACCUGUUCCUGCUACACUGCCUGAUGAAUAAGAGGCAUUCUUUGACUAUGUGCUCAGUGAAUGAAUCAAUGAACGGAUUUGCCGCUUCAACACACUUGCUGUCGUUACAAUCGCAGUACUAGUAGCGCGCUGGUACAUCUCCUGGUGUGGAACAGACGUACGGAUUCUGUAAAGGGAACAAAUCUUCCAGCACCCGUGUCACUGCAGACGAGUGAGUGGGGCCCCCGGGACGCCUGCAGGGGCCGAACAAGUGCUCGGGCACCAAGCACAGCUCCUGGCAACACAGGAACUCCUCAAGUGUAACCGGCCCAGGCUGACGGUCAGAGAACGAGAGGCUGUGAGGAGCCCGACUGAGCCGUUCUUGGCAGUGGAGCCUCAGCCGACCUGCGCUGAUAACGGGAUCAUGGGCAAGCCCAAAUUAUAUCCACGAGCCCUUCCCAUGUCGACAGAGCUUCCUGGCCAGUCCACAGACCCAUGAGAGACAAUAAACAGUUGCUUUCUUAAACCACGAAGUCUUGGGGUGGUUUGUUAGGCAGCAAUAGCUAACUGAUAGUCAAUAUCCAUCUUCUGCCGCUACCUCCGAAGGAUCGUUUUCUAGUCCUUCUAGCAGAGACUUAUACAGGUUACCCCAAAUCCGUGCCCUUUUUCAUCAUAAGCGUACAGCUGUGCUAUAUGUUCUCACCUCCACGUGUCCAUGUGACUGAGCUCUGGCGAACGGAAUACGUGCAGAAGCAAUGUGGGGCCCUUCCAAGUCUGGAAGUUCCUGGAAUCCAUUUCCCCCAUCUGGCUGAAUGGAGAGACACUGAGGAGGGCAGAUCCAGAGUAUGGAAGACGCGGGGCUUCGUGCGUGACCGUGUGGAAGACCGCUACUCACCGGGAUCAUCUCCCGGUGCGAGUUUUGUGCGAGUGAGACGCUAACCUCAGUCGUGCCAAGUUCCUGAGGCCCGGGGUUCAUUUGCAGCAGCUGGGGUUGUUCGCCGUCGCCACUGCUCUGCUCCUCUUACCUGGCCUCUCUGUGGCCUUGGGCCAUGCUGACCGCCCUCUCUUACGGCAUCUUCUUUCCCUGGUUUCCUCGAUCUCCUACAUUAUAAUUUUCCCACACAUAUGUCAAUGGUUCUCCAUUACUUUCAAGAAGAUAAGGUCCGGAAUUCUUAGCAUGCCUUUGCCUCUGCUAACGCUUUUGUUUACCUCUCCGCCCUUCUGUCUCACCACCAUUGCCUUCUAACUCUGCGCGUUUAUAUAAACACGUCAUGCUCUUGUGUGCUCUGAGGUCUGAUAUUUGUUCUCUCUCCUGGAAAUAGUCUUCCCACUUUUUGCCCUACUAACUUUUGCUACCAUUUUGGAUCUGGUCUAUCAUUCGUUCCAAGAAUCCUGGGGCCCCAAGGCUGGGCGAACAGCCACUGUGGACUGUGAGGGGGUUCUGUGUCUACCCUAAUCCUAGGACUUACUGUUGUACCAGAGCUUUGUCUCUCCUCACCAGCGGACUCUAUGCGCUGAGCUAUUUUAGUCCACCGUGCUCACAAUUGCAUACGUAUCCUAAAUGCGCAAACCCACACAUGCCAUUUAGU